This 117-nucleotide non-coding RNA is filed under the name Pan troglodytes (chimpanzee). Lineage: Eukaryota; Metazoa; Chordata; Mammalia; Primates; Hominidae. The record is from Rfam by way of RNAcentral.
GCUGGGCAUGGUGGCUCAUGCCUGUAAUCCCAGCACUCUGGGAGGCUGAGGCGGGUGGAUCACCUGAGGUCAGGAGUUUGAGACCAGCCUGGCCAACAUGGUGAAACCCUGUCUUUA